UGGUCAAGUUAUUAAGGGUGCAGGGCGGAUGCCUUGGCACUAGGAGCCGAUGAAGGACGUGAUAAGCUGCGAUAAGCUUCGGGGAGUUGCACGUAAACGUUGAUCCGAAGAUUUCCGAAUGAGGAAACUCACUUAGAGUAAUGUCUAAGUAUCAUUAAGUGAAUACAUAGCUUAAUGAGGGGAACUCAGGGAACUGAAACAUCUAAGUACCUGAAGGAAGAGAAAG
RNAcentral lists this ribosomal RNA (226 nucleotides) under Clostridioides difficile. RNAcentral describes it as "partial 23S ribosomal RNA". It matches the Rfam family "Bacterial large subunit ribosomal RNA", at positions 1 to 225 of the family's 2925-position model. The record is from RNAcentral. Lineage: Bacteria; Bacillati; Bacillota; Clostridia; Peptostreptococcales; Peptostreptococcaceae.